This 1061-nucleotide ribosomal RNA is filed under the name Enterococcus faecalis. RNAcentral's name for it is "partial 23S ribosomal RNA". It matches the Rfam family "Bacterial large subunit ribosomal RNA", at positions 311 to 1375 of the family's 2925-position model. Lineage: Bacteria; Bacillati; Bacillota; Bacilli; Lactobacillales; Enterococcaceae. The record is from RNAcentral.
AUAUGGUAGUCUGUUAGUAUAGUUGAAGGAUUUGGAAAAUUCCGCUAAAGAGGGUGAAAGCCCCGUAGACGAAAUGCUGACAACACCUAGGAGGAUCCUGAGUACGGCGGAACACGAGAAAUUCCGUCGGAAUCCGCGGGGACCAUCCCGCAAGGCUAAAUACUCCCUAGUGACCGAUAGUGAACCAGUACCGUGAGGGAAAGGUGAAAAGCACCCCGGAAGGGGAGUGAAAUAGAUCCUGAAACCGUGUGCCUACAACAAGUCAAAGCUCGUUAAUGAGUGAUGGCGUGCCUUUUGUAGAAUGAACCGGCGAGUUACGAUUGCAUGCGAGGUUAAGUCGAAGAGACGGAGCCGCAGCGAAAGCGAGUCUGAAUAGGGCGAAUGAGUAUGUAGUCGUAGACCCGAAACCAUGUGAUCUACCCAUGUCCAGGUUGAAGGUGCGGUAAAACGCACUGGAGGACCGAACCCACGUACGUUGAAAAGUGCGGGGAUGAGGUGUGGGUAGCGGAGAAAUUCCAAACGAACUUGGAGAUAGCUGGUUCUCUCCGAAAUAGCUUUAGGGCUAGCCUCGGAAUUGAGAAUGAUGGAGGUAGAGCACUGUUUGGACUAGGGGCCCAUCUCGGGUUACCGAAUUCAGAUAAACUCCGAAUGCCAUUCAUUUAUAUCCGGGAGUCAGACUGCGAGUGAUAAGAUCCGUAGUCGAAAGGGAAACAGCCCAGACCACCAGCUAAGGUCCCAAAAUAUAUGUUAAGUGGAAAAGGAUGUGGGGUUGCACAGACAACUAGGAUGUUGGCUUAGAAGCAGCCACCAUUUAAAGAGUGCGUAAUAGCUCACUAGUCGAGUGACCCUGCGCCGAAAAUGUACCGGGGCUAAACAUAUUACCGAAGCUGUGGACUACACCAUUAGGUGUAGUGGUAGGAGAGCGUUCUAAGGGCGUUGAAGGUCGAUCGUGAGGACGGCUGGAGCGCUUAGAAGUGAGAAUGCCGGUAUGAGUAGCGAAAGACAGGUGAGAAUCCUGUCCACCGUAUGACUAAGGUUUCCUGGGGAAGGCUCGUCCGCCC